UACAGAGGCCUCGAGCGUUAAUCGGAGUCACUGGGCUUAAAGGGUGCGUAGGCGGGUCCGCAAGUGCCUUGUGAAAUCCCACGGCUCAACCGUGGAAUGGCCCGGCAGACUGCGGGUCUUGAGGUCGGUAGGGGUCGCUGGAACUCUAGGUGGAGCGGUGAAAUGCGUAGAUAUCUAGAGGAACGCCAAAGGUGAAGACAAGCGACUGGGCCGAUUCUGACGCUGAGGCACGAAAGCGUGGGGAGCGAACGGG
Molecule: ribosomal RNA, 253 nt
Filed under: uncultured bacterium
Lineage: Bacteria
Description: partial 16S ribosomal RNA
Rfam family: Bacterial small subunit ribosomal RNA
Source: RNAcentral